This 210-nucleotide ribosomal RNA is filed under the name uncultured Bacillus sp. RNAcentral's name for it is "partial 16S ribosomal RNA". It matches the Rfam family "Bacterial small subunit ribosomal RNA", at positions 250 to 457 of the family's 1533-position model. The record is from RNAcentral. Lineage: Bacteria; Bacillati; Bacillota; Bacilli; Caryophanales; Bacillaceae.
CGGCCGCGUCGACAUGGCCUACCAAGGCGGUGACGGGUAGCCGGCCUGAGAGGGUGGACGGUCACACUGGGACUGAGACACGGCCCAGACUCCUACGGGAGGCAGCAGUAGGGAAUCUUCCACAAUGGACGAAAGUCUGAUGGAGCAACGCCGCGUGAGCGAUGAAGGCCUUCGGGUCGUAAGCUCUGUUGUUAGGGAAGAACAAGUGCG